Molecule: ribosomal RNA, 253 nt
Filed under: uncultured bacterium
Lineage: Bacteria
Description: partial 16S ribosomal RNA
Rfam family: Bacterial small subunit ribosomal RNA
Source: RNAcentral
UACAGAGGGUGCGAGCGUUGUCCGGAAUCACUGGGCGUAAAGGGCGCGUAGGUGGCGGCCCAAGUCCGUGGUGAAAGCUCGCCGCUUAACGGCGAGUCGGCCACGGAGACUGGGUGGCUCGAGCACUGUAGGGGCAGAUGGAAUUCCGGGUGGAGCGGUGAAAUGCGUAGAGAUCCGGAGGAACACCGACGGCGUAGGCAGCGCCCUGGACGACACCUGACGCUGAGGCACGAAAGCUGGGGGAGCGAACAGG